AGUGGCGGACGGGUGAGUAACACGUAGGUAACCUGCCCAGAAGCGGGGGGCAACAUUUGGAAACAGAUGCUAAUACCGCAUAACAACGUUGUUCGCAUGAACAACGCUUAAAAGAUGGCUUCUCGCUAUCACUUCUGGAUGGACCUGCGGUGCAUUAGCUUGUUGGUGGGGUAACGGCCUACCAAGGCGAUGAUGCAUAGCCGAGUUGAGAGACUGAUCGGCCACAAUGGGACUGAGACACGGUCCAUACUCC
This 253-nucleotide ribosomal RNA is filed under the name uncultured Lactobacillus sp. RNAcentral's name for it is "partial 16S ribosomal RNA". It matches the Rfam family "Bacterial small subunit ribosomal RNA", at positions 94 to 339 of the family's 1533-position model. The record is from RNAcentral. Lineage: Bacteria; Bacillati; Bacillota; Bacilli; Lactobacillales; Lactobacillaceae.